AUGAACAAACAAGAAGCGAGUGGCUUCAUCGACCGAACAACAACCUUGAUUUCAAACUUGUGGCUUAAAUUAUGCGCGUCGGAUGUGGAACGGACGGACGGAUCAGGCGCAGGUGUAGCCCGGGGGCACGGCGCAGCCGCAGUCGUUGACGAGCAGCUGGAGGGCGAGCGGCACGUAGAGGGCGAGGUUGAGCACCUUGGCCUUGAUGGCCGUGCAGAGGCACGCCGCGGCGGUGAGCCCGGCGAUGCCCUCCACGAGCGGGCAGCACUUGACGCUGGCGUCGCCGAUGUGCAGCUCGUUGCCGAGCAGGUCCAGGCACACGCCCAGCUUCAGCGUGUCGAUCGGGCACGUGUCGGAGGAGGGCGUGGGGCUAGGCGUGGGCGUCGGCGGAGUCGGCGCCGGGGUCGGGGGAGACGGGGUGGGGGUCGGGGGCGAGGGAGGGCACGCCUUGCGUCCGCCGUGGCGGGUCUUGGGGGACGGGGAGCCCCCGAUGAUGGGAGCCACGACGCCGAUGACGGGAGUGACAACUCCCCCGACGACGGGGACGCCGCCAACCACGCCGCCUACGGUGCCGACGACAGGAGAGACCACGCCACCGGCGGCAGGGACGGCGCCGCUGACGACGGGGACUUUGCCGACGACGCCGCCUACGGUGCCGACAACAGGAGCAACCGCGCCGCCGACGGCUGGGGUGACUUUGCCGACGACACCGCCCACGGUGGGGACGGCGCCGCCGACGACUGGGGUGACUUUGCCGACGACACCGCCCACGGUGGGGACGGCGCCGCCGACGACACCGCCGAUGACCGGGGUGACUUUGCCGACGACACCGCCGACGGUGGGGACGGCGCCGCCGAUGAUCGGAGUGACGGUGCCAACGAUACCGCCGACCGGGGGUAUGCUGACGCCGCCGGCCGAGGGCGUGCCGCUCGACGGGGUGCCGCUGCCGCACCCGGAGGCGGGGGAGCACGCGAGCACGACGGUGGGCGAGGAGAGCGCCAGCAUGGCGAGCACCAGCAGCGCGGAGAUCUUCGUGGACUCCAUUGCAGCUACCUCUCCGAGCUCAGGCGGCGAUCGACCGGGUCCGUGUUACGUGGGGUGCUGUUGUGCCUGUGUCUCUGGCCGAGCACGCUUUUAUAG
RNAcentral lists this ribosomal RNA (1140 nucleotides) under Triticum aestivum (bread wheat). RNAcentral describes it as "partial small subunit ribosomal RNA". The record is from RNAcentral. Lineage: Eukaryota; Viridiplantae; Streptophyta; Magnoliopsida; Poales; Poaceae.